RNAcentral lists this ribosomal RNA (492 nucleotides) under uncultured bacterium. RNAcentral's name for it is "partial 16S ribosomal RNA". It matches the Rfam family "Bacterial small subunit ribosomal RNA", at positions 29 to 507 of the family's 1533-position model. The record is from RNAcentral.
AUUGAACGCUGGCGGCAUGCUUUACACAUGCAAGUCGAACGGUAACAGGCCUUCGGGUGCUGACGAGUGGCGAACGGGUGAGUAAUGCAUCGGAACGUACCCAGAGGUGGGGGAUAACGCAGCGAAAGCUGUGCUAAUACCGCAUGUGAUCUGAGGAUGAAAGCGGGGGACCGAGCAGCAAUGUUUGGCCUCGCGCCUUUGGAGCGGCCGAUGUCGGAUUAGCUAGUUGGUGGGGUAAAGGCCUACCAAGGCGACGAUCCGUAGCUGGUCUGAGAGGACGACCAGCCAAACUGGGACUGAGACACGGCCCAGACUCCUACGGGAGGCAGCAGUGGGGAAUGUUGGACAAUGGGCGCAAGCCUGAUCCAGCAAUGCCGCGUGCGGGAAGAAGGCCUUCGGGUUGUAAACCGCUUUUGGCAGGAACGAAACGGUGUCCGCUAAUACCGGGCGCUAAUGACGGUACCUGCAGAAUAAGCACCGGCUAACUACGUG